Andrographis paniculata is the source of this 94-nucleotide small nucleolar RNA. RefSeq annotates it as small nucleolar RNA snoR126. The transcript has a single exon. NCBI's taxonomy places the organism in Eukaryota, Viridiplantae, Streptophyta, Magnoliopsida, Lamiales, Acanthaceae. The record is from RefSeq and is a predicted model, not a curated record.
GGGCUGUGAAGACAAAAAUCGUUUCUCGAUGCUGAGAUACGGACCUCUAAUGUUUUAUUCUGCUUGAUGAGUUAUUUAUGCGUGUCUGAGCCCU